This 487-nucleotide ribosomal RNA is filed under the name Bacillus sp. (in: firmicutes). RNAcentral describes it as "bacterial SSU rRNA". It matches the Rfam family "Bacterial small subunit ribosomal RNA", at positions 389 to 867 of the family's 1533-position model. Lineage: Bacteria; Bacillati; Bacillota; Bacilli; Caryophanales; Bacillaceae. The record is from RNAcentral.
GAGCAACGCCGCGUGAGUGAUGAAGGUUUUCGGAUCGUAAAACUCUGUUGUCAGGGAAGAACAAGUACCGGAGUAACUGCCGGUACCUUGACGGUACCUGACCAGAAAGCCACGGCUAACUACGUGCCAGCAGCCGCGGUAAUACGUAGGUGGCAAGCGUUGUCCGGAAUUAUUGGGCGUAAAGCGCGCGCAGGCGGUUCCUUAAGUCUGAUGUGAAAGCCCCCGGCUCAACCGGGGAGGGUCAUUGGAAACUGGGGAACUUGAGUGCAGAAGAGAAGAGUGGAAUUCCACGUGUAGCGGUGAAAUGCGUAGAGAUGUGGAGGAACACCAGUGGCGAAGGCGACUCUUUGGUCUGUAACUGACGCUGAGGCGCGAAAGCGUGGGGAGCAAACAGGAUUAGAUACCCUGGUAGUCCACGCCGUAAACGAUGAGUGCUAAGUGUUAGAGGGUUUCCGCCCUUUAGUGCUGCAGCAAACGCAUUAAGCAC